Molecule: long non-coding RNA, 230 nt
Filed under: Elaeis guineensis (African oil palm)
Lineage: Eukaryota; Viridiplantae; Streptophyta; Magnoliopsida; Arecales; Arecaceae
Description: long non-coding RNA (EGUI_LNC077107)
Source: RNAcentral
GAGCCCUUUGUUGAAACCCAUAUCCAAGCACCUGUGGCCGUGUUGGUGAUGGGUAUCCUGAAAAAGGGGUUUUGUAAUUAUGUCACUGGGAUGGUUAAUUCUUAUGUGCUGAAUAAAUCAGAAUAGACAGAUGAACAAAUCCUAACUGAAAAUGGAACUAGAAUGUCCAUUCUUGGAUCAGCGAAAGUUUCCUUGUCCACCUCCCUUGGUAUAUUUAUGCUUAGAAAUGU